GUGAAAGUCGAAUCCAGAUUUGAGUCCAACAAACACGCGUCCUUCAAAACACGUUGCCUAGCAACAAAUUGAUUCUAGUUACUUCCGGCAUCCCAAGUGGAGAAAAAUAACCAAUUCCUUCCUAGAAGCCAAGCUUGAGGGACCUUUAGAAUUCUGUAACAGAAAAGCUCCCCACCCCCUACUGUGACCCAAGCAGUUACUUAAACACUAAUACCUCCCAUUGGCCGGCGUGGCAGAGCAGCAGCUCUGGCGCUAGAGGGAACCUGGGCUGCUCUAGCUGGGGGAGAGCCGGGUCUCUGGUUCUAAUCACUUGAAUCUGACUUCUGGGAAAACUGGCGUCCAGGGACUCCCCCCGGAGACCCAUAAUCUUCUUGGGGCGACCUCAGGUUGGGGGACUAAGUCCUGCAGGGGACACUUGUUCAUCCACUACCAGGGACACCCAUCUCUCCCAACUCAAGACUUCUUUUUACUCCCCAAGUUUAAAACUCUGAGGCCACCCCGCCCCCUUCCCUCUCCCUCGCUUAGAAUCAGGACUUCUGUAGACAAGACAGAUACUGUAAAGACAGCAAAGAACAAACAGAAUGGCAGAUUGCUAAUGUUUGAUCCAAACGAAAAAGUGAUGAUUGAAUCAAACGAAGCAAUGUCAGAGAAGGAAGUCCCUUCUAAGAAUAUUGCAAAUAAAGUCUCUUUACAGACUACUGAAAAUAGAGUAUCUUCAAGGAGUAUCGAAAGUAAAGAUAUCUUAACAAAUCUACAGUCUGACCUAUUGUCAUCUUCCUGCUUAAAAGAAAGCACAGGUAAU
RNAcentral lists this long non-coding RNA (802 nucleotides) under Homo sapiens (human). RNAcentral describes it as "HSALNT0307115". The record is from RNAcentral. Lineage: Eukaryota; Metazoa; Chordata; Mammalia; Primates; Hominidae.